Molecule: ribosomal RNA, 483 nt
Filed under: uncultured bacterium
Lineage: Bacteria
Description: partial 16S ribosomal RNA
Rfam family: Bacterial small subunit ribosomal RNA
Source: RNAcentral
GACGAACGCUGGCGGCGUGCUUAACACAUGCAAGUCGAACGAUGAUGCCCAGCUUGCUGGGUGGAUUAGUGGCGAACGGGUGAGUAACACGUGAGUAACCUGCCCCUGACUCUGGGAUAAGCGUUGGAAACGACGUCUAAUACUGGAUAUGACUGCCGGCCGCAUGGUCUGGUGGUGGAAAGAUUUUUUGGUUGGGGAUGGACUCGCGGCCUAUCAGCUUGUUGGUGAGGUAAUGGCUCACCAAGGCGACGACGGGUAGCCGGCCUGAGAGGGUGACCGGCCACACUGGGACAGAGACACGGACCAGACUCCUACGGAAGGCAGCAGUGGGGAAUAUUGCACAAUGGGCGAAAGCCUGAUGCAGCAACGCCGCGUGAGGGAUGACGGCCUUCGGGUUGUAAACCUCUUUUAGUAGGGAAGAAGCGAAAGUGACGGUACCUGCAGAAAAAGCACCGGCUAACUACGUGCCAGCCGCCGCAGUAA